RNAcentral lists this non-coding RNA (24 nucleotides) under Cricetulus griseus (Chinese hamster). Lineage: Eukaryota; Metazoa; Chordata; Mammalia; Rodentia; Cricetidae. The record is from RNAcentral.
GUGCGAAGGAGCUUGAAAGGGGGA